GAGGGCCCCUAUCCCGACAGGGAUGACCCUAUGUCCCCAAAGUGGGGGUCCCUGCCCCCCGGGGGGGUCCCCAUGUCCCCAGUUUGGGGGUCCCUGCCCCCCGGGGGGUCCCCAUGUCUCCAAUUUGGGGGUCUCUAUCCCCAGGGGGGACCCCACAUCCCUAAAGUGGGGGUCCCUGCCCCCCAGGGGGGUCCCUACGUCCCCAAAGGGAGCUCCCCCUGUCCCCAAAGUUGGGAGGGGGUCCCUGCCCCAAAGGCAGCUCCCCCGGCCCCCAGAGCGGGGGGGUGGGGGCCGGGGGUCUCGAUGCCCCCCCGGUCCCGGUUCCGGUCCCGCUCCGGGUCCCGUACUUGCGGCGCAGGCGCUCCAUGGCGCUGGCCACGCGUUCUCGGUGCGCGUUGCCGUCCCGUUGCAGGCUCUCCCCGGCCCGCAACGCCAGGCGCGCCUUCCUGCGGCUCAGCUCCGCGCCGCCGCCCGCCUCCUGGAGCCUCCGGAUGGCGGCGGUCACCUCCUCCACCGCGUCCGGGAGCUCCGCGCGGCUCAGAGCGGCCUCCUGCCCCGGGGGGGAGAGCGGGAGUCGGGGCCGAAAGAACCGGGGGGGGGUGGAGGGGGAGGACGCCUUCGUCCCAACUGCACGUGGACAGCGCCGGGCUCCUCCAGCCCCAUCUUUGCUCCAUCUCCCCAGAGAUCUCACCAAUCUCUCUCCAUCUCCCCAUAGACUUCACCAACCCCUCCCCACCCAACUCUUCAUCUCCCCAUAGAUCUCGUCAACCCCUCCCCACCCCAACUCUCCAUCUCCCCAUAGAUCUCACCAAUCACUCUCCAUCUCCCCAUAGACCUCACCAACCCCUCCCCAUCCCAACUCUCCAUCUCCCCAUAGAUUUCACCAAUCUCUCUCCAUCUCCCCAUAGAUCUCAUCAACCCCUCCUCACCCCAACUCUCCAUCUCCCCAUAGACCUCACCAACCCCUCCCCACCCCAACUCUCCAUCUCCCCAUAGAUUGCGUCAGCUCCUCCCCACCCCAACUCUCCAUCUCCCCAUAGAUGUCACCAAUCUCUCUCCAUCUCCCCAUAGACUUCACCAACCCCUCCCCACCCAACUCUCCAUC
RNAcentral lists this long non-coding RNA (1105 nucleotides) under Numida meleagris (helmeted guineafowl). RNAcentral describes it as "lncRNA (ENSNMEG00000002106.1)". Lineage: Eukaryota; Metazoa; Chordata; Aves; Galliformes; Numididae. The record is from RNAcentral.